UCUAGUGUGGCAGAAAAGUGCAAUGAAUUUAAGCUUCAUAUAUAAAGAUUUAUCUUUCUCUAGAA
Molecule: transfer RNA, 65 nt
Filed under: Artheneis intricata
Lineage: Eukaryota; Metazoa; Arthropoda; Insecta; Hemiptera; Artheneidae
Description: tRNA-Leu
Source: RNAcentral